This 796-nucleotide ribosomal RNA is filed under the name Dothiorella brevicollis. RNAcentral's name for it is "eukaryotic LSU rRNA". It matches the Rfam family "Eukaryotic large subunit ribosomal RNA", at positions 90 to 904 of the family's 3401-position model. Lineage: Eukaryota; Fungi; Ascomycota; Dothideomycetes; Botryosphaeriales; Botryosphaeriaceae. The record is from RNAcentral.
CGAGUGAAGCGGCAAUAGCUCAAAUUUGAAAGCUGGCCCCUUCGGGGUCCGCGUUGUAAUUUGUAGAGGAUGAUUCGGCGAGGGCUCCCGUCUAAGUCCCCUGGAACGGGGCGUCAUAGAGGGUGAGAAUCCCGUAUGUGAUGGGUUGCCUUAGCCAUGUGAAUCUCCUUCGACGAGUCGAGUUGUUUGGGAAUGCAGCUCUAAAUGGGAGGUAAAUUUCUUCUAAAGCUAAAUACCGGCCAGAGACCGAUAGCGCACAAGUAGAGUGAUCGAAAGAUGAAAAGCACUUUGGAAAGAGAGUUAAAAAGUACGUGAAAUUGUUGAAAGGGAAGCGCUUGCAGCCAGACUUGUCCGCAGUUGCUCAGCCGGUCUCCUGACCGGCGUACUCUUCUGCGGCCAGGCCAGCAUCAGUUCGGGCGGUCGGAUAAAGACCUCGGGAAUGUGGCUCCUCUCGGGGAGUGUUAUAGCCCGGGGUGGAAUGCGGCCAGCCUGGACUGAGGAUCUCGCUUCGGCUAGGAUGCUGGCGUAAUGGCUGUAAGCGGCCCGUCUUGAAACACGGACCAAGGAGUCUAACAUCUAUGCGAGUGUUUGGGUGUCAAACCCAUACGCGUAAUGAAAGUGAACGGAGGUGGGAACCCUCACGGGUGCACCAUCGACCGAUCCUGAUGUCUUCGGAUGGAUUUGAGUAAGAGCAUAGCUGUUGGGACCCGAAAGAUGGUGAACUAUGCCUGAAUAGGGUGAAGCCAGAGGAAACUCUGGUGGAGGCUCGCAGCGGUUCUGACGUGCAAAUCGAUCG